This 66-nucleotide ribosomal RNA is filed under the name Macrophomina phaseolina. Its description in RNAcentral is "partial 28S ribosomal RNA". It matches the Rfam family "Eukaryotic large subunit ribosomal RNA", at positions 1 to 63 of the family's 3401-position model. The record is from RNAcentral. Lineage: Eukaryota; Fungi; Ascomycota; Dothideomycetes; Botryosphaeriales; Botryosphaeriaceae.
GGUUGACCUCGGAUCAGGUAGGGAUACCCGCUGAACUUAAGCAUAUCAAUAAGCGGAGGAAAUAUG